Molecule: long non-coding RNA, 518 nt
Organism: Phyllostomus hastatus (greater spear-nosed bat)
Lineage: Eukaryota; Metazoa; Chordata; Mammalia; Chiroptera; Phyllostomidae
Exons: 3
Source: RefSeq, a predicted model, not a curated record
CCAAAAGCCAUCUCUGCUUCCCAAGCACUUUUCCUCAGGUGAGAAGCUGGCUUGCCCAGGAGCACAGAGUGAAGCUGGACACGUUCCAGCGUGUGGAAGAGCUACUGAGUCAGCUUACUGACGCCGGGAGCUCUGUCCAGACGAGCUCCCCCGGAGCUGAUGUCUAGUGACUGGACCGGAAGUUUGCUGUGGCGUUUCCGAGUACGCGGUUCAGAGAUGACACACAGAGAGGGAAGAACAGGCUGGGCACAGACCGGCUGAGACCCUUGACCACGUGGGGCCACGCUGCGGAUGCCCACCGCUUGCUUGACUCACCAGUCUCUGUGGAGCCAUCUUGGACUAACAUGCAGAACUGGAGCACCUACUAACCACAGAAAAGGGAUCAACGAUCUUUUCCUGCCCAGUGUGGCAGAAGACGUCCAACCAUCAGCUUUGCAAGUUCACACAGCUCCAUCCAGAACCCCAUUUAGACCUGACUGGUGAUCACAAAUCCUUUCCCAACUUUUAUUUCUAUACUC